UACUGGCUUCCCAUAGUACGGCGAGUGACCGGGAAAAGCUCAAAUUUGAAAUCUGGCUGUCUUCGAUAGUCCGAGUUGUAAUCUAUAGAAGCGUUUUCCGUGCUGAACUGUGUCUAAGUCCCUUGGAACAGGGUAUCAAAGAGGGUGAUAAUCCCGUACUUGACACAAUCAUCAGUGCUCUGUGAUACGUUCUCUACGAGUCGAGUUGUUUGGGAAUGCAGCUCAAAAUGGGUGGUAAAUUCCAUCUAAAGCUAAAUAUUGGCGAGAGACCGAUAGCGAACAAGUACCGUGAGGGAAAGAUGAAAAGCACUUUGGAAAGAGAGUUAAACAGUACGUGAAAUUGUUGAAAGGGAAACGAUUGAAGUCAGUCGUGUUCAUUGGAUUCAGCUAGUUCUUCUAGUCUACUUCCUUUGAACGGGUCAACAUCAGUUUUGUCCGGUGGAUAAAGGAUUUAGGAAUGUGACUCCCUCGGGAGUGUUAUAGCCUAGGUUCACAUACACUGGGUGAGACUGAGGACUGCAGCUCGCCUUUUGGCCGGGGUUCGCCCACGUUCGAGCUUAGGAUGUUGACAUAAUGGCUUUAAACGACCCGUCUUGAAA
This 599-nucleotide ribosomal RNA is filed under the name Apiotrichum montevideense. Its description in RNAcentral is "eukaryotic LSU rRNA". It matches the Rfam family "Eukaryotic large subunit ribosomal RNA", at positions 67 to 659 of the family's 3401-position model. Lineage: Eukaryota; Fungi; Basidiomycota; Tremellomycetes; Trichosporonales; Trichosporonaceae. The record is from RNAcentral.